RNAcentral lists this ribosomal RNA (2259 nucleotides) under Triticum aestivum (bread wheat). RNAcentral's name for it is "partial small subunit ribosomal RNA". Lineage: Eukaryota; Viridiplantae; Streptophyta; Magnoliopsida; Poales; Poaceae. The record is from RNAcentral.
UGUCGCGUCUAUAUGGUCUAGGUAGCAGACGGGAUUGGAACAAGGUAGGGGUGGGUUGGAGGUGUGGGUAGCUGGCGGCCGCCGCCGCCGCCGCGGGCGUUGAGAAGAGCGUUAUAAACCCGGGUUUGGAGAAGACGGGAACUUAGACCGCCGGCAUCUACUUCCUUAGAGUUCAAGCAAGACACGAGCCUAACCUUGUUCAUUCCUUGUCCACGGUCAGAGCAACACAUUAGCCUAAGCAGCAUCUUCUUUCUCUGGCUAAAGCCAAACAUAAUCUUUUUCCACGACAAAAAUAUACAGGCGGGGAACGCUCUGUUAUCAUUUAGGCAGCUAAAUGCUUAACAUACGGUCGGACUUAGCCUAGUCCUGCUCCGAUAUUAUUCGCGACCCGGCCUCGCAGCAAAGUUCUUAUAUUAAUAAAGAAACGCAAAACAAACAGCGACAUUCAACAGACAAAACAAGGUAAACUCUAGCCUAGCGGUACUUCAAGUUGUCUCCAGCGGCGGCGUCGGCACUAAGCUUUUUUCGUCGAAUAAUACCCCUCCUUUCCGAUUCGCUCGACGGUUCACUACAACACCAGUUUCAGGAACUCUGCCACUUUUGUGCCAACUUCUUUCGUCGACCAUUACCCCUCCUGUCCGAUUCGCUCAACGGGUUACUGCACGACGAGUUGUAGGAGCUCUCCCACCCAUGCGAACUACGGCAUUUUUGGACGUAGGACAGUUUCGUUUACGUCUUCGACGGGCGAUACGAGAGCGUCUAGCAUUAACUAGAGUUGGGAGUGCUAAACUAAGUUUACCUACCACAACACCGACUACACUGCUUGUUCUAGGAAUGAUGCUCCAGAGGUGUCUAGUGGUAAGCGUUCGACUUCGAGUUUAAAAAGAACCAAGGGAGAGCGACAGAGAGGUAGCCGUUUAGACAACCGGAGCGGUACCACUGGGUCUUUAACCUACGUCGACUCAAACUCUAGUACUGUGUCUUCCUAAAGUCGGUAACGUGACUACGGGUAGCGGACGAGAUACGACUCUUUAAGUUACUAAAACAAGCACCAACAGGCCUACGUAAACGACCAGAGUGCGCCGACGUAGAUGCCUUAUACUCCAAACCAUUUAGUCUAUAUAGGUUGUAGGAAUCGGUAACGUUCACCAACCUCAAGAACAGAAAGAAGCUCACACUGCUCCCCCAGGCAAGCCACGAGGUACAUCUUGUGCGAGUUGAUCAACUCGAACAAUAGUAGAAACCCUUUAAACUUUGUCACCUCGAACGGAAAGAUGGUUUCGAGGUCGCCUACAGGAUAUCCCUAACCGUCAUACUACUAUUAGGGAACCAAGAACCAAAACAGGGAGUCGAAAGCUUCGAGUCAGAACGAACGGGUAUGAAUAGUCCGUUCUGUGAGUUGAAUUCGUUCGACGAACGAUUACGGGGGUGACAUUCGCUAAACAUAGACCUCAAAGCUUCACUUUUCUAAACCUAAGUUGGUCUUACGGGGUUUCACGAACGAGGACACGAACGGUUUGAUGCCAAACACUUAGACCUAGUAGAAGCGCUUCUUACACUAUAGAGGACCUGUGACAAGGAAGAACUUCGCCGUGGUAUGGAUCUCCUCGAAACGUAGUGUCAUACCCUGGUAUUCACGGCCUAGCUCAGUGUUUUCUCGCAGAGGUUCUUUUGCCUACACUUCACCCUUGGUAGACUAGGAGUAAAAUUCGUCUUCUUAGACCGUUCCGACUGAUAGAUGCCGAAGGUCAGGCUACUGUUAAAGUAGCCUAUGUAAUCUGCACAGUAAGUUCGACGACACUUGUAGUCCCUCCAUAGGGACGUGAGGUCCUUCCACACGGGUAACACAAAGCUUUCCAAAGGAGUCCACCGCGAAGCAGGCAGCGCAAUAGGUGCCUGUUCGCUCCUCGAACUAAACAACUCCCUCUUCUACUGUCGGCGAAGCCGAUACCGAAGAGGACAAUAAGUGAAGGCGAGUAAUCCAACUCAACUACUUCUACUUGGAGAUAAAGUUUCUGGGGUCAUCAUCGGUGAUGCAGCCGCGAUAACGUAUAAGACGUCUUUACAUAGAACCGAUGGUUAAACAACCUUGUUGAGUAAAUCGAUAAAAGCUGUUUACUUAACCUAUUUUAUUCGUGCAGAUACAACACCCGCACGUCAUUGCACGAAUACAACUUAUGUCAGUUAUAAGUCAAGCUUACUACUAGACAAUAAAAAAGUUAGAACAUAAAUACUCUUGGUGUCGUGAGAGAUAAAAAG